Molecule: long non-coding RNA, 277 nt
Filed under: Fukomys damarensis (Damara mole-rat)
Lineage: Eukaryota; Metazoa; Chordata; Mammalia; Rodentia; Bathyergidae
Description: lncRNA (ENSFDAG00000021698.1)
Source: RNAcentral
CACGCGGAGAGCAGAGUGGGUGAUUUAAUAAACUCCUUCCACAGCCAGAAGUUGAGUAUAUUUGAUCCUCUUCGUGGAGAAUUCACCAGGCCUCACUCGUUUCACAUGAGCUUUCUCUCUACUGCCGUGAACGGUGGGACUGGGAAUUCCGGUUGCUCCUCAUUUGUGUCAAGCGUCUAAGAGGAAGAACGGAGUAAGACAAAAUUAGGCAUGAGGUUGGUGUUCAAUAUCUUGGAAAUGUUUUCUUACCACUGUAUAGAAGGAAUAUAAUAUAUAU